GGCCGCCUGGUGUAGUGGUUAUCACGUCUGCUUUACAUGGUUACAUUUGUUUGUUCCUAAUAUCGCAGCAGGUCGCAGGUUCGAUCCCUGCGGUGGUCA
RNAcentral lists this transfer RNA (99 nucleotides) under Lachnellula hyalina. It matches the Rfam family "tRNA". From Rfam's summary of the family: Transfer RNA (tRNA) molecules are approximately 80 nucleotides in length. Their secondary structure includes four short double-helical elements and three loops (D, anti-codon, and T loops). Further hydrogen bonds mediate the characteristic L-shaped molecular structure. tRNAs have two regions of fundamental functional importance: the anti-codon, which is responsible for specific mRNA codon recognition, and the 3' end, to which the tRNAs corresponding amino acid is attached (by aminoacyl-tRNA synthetases). tRNAs cope with the degeneracy of the genetic code in two manners: having more than one tRNA (with a specific anti-codon) for a particular amino acid; and 'wobble' base-pairing, i.e. permitting non-standard base-pairing at the 3rd anti-codon position. The record is from Rfam by way of RNAcentral. Lineage: Eukaryota; Fungi; Ascomycota; Leotiomycetes; Helotiales; Lachnaceae.